UGAGGAGCUGCUGUGAACACUGGUUGUGUGAGUAGGUCGGUGAAGAGCCUGUUAAGUUUUGUCUUCUACACAAACGGUUGUUUUGAACCUCUACAGCAGAGGUUCGAGUGAUUUUAGAAGACAAGCCAGGUGUGCAGCAAACACAGUUGUCUGUUGGAGGACAGGCUGCACAUGUGAAUGUGUCACUGUUUUUUCCUCCUCCUUUUGUUGCGUUUUUCUUCCAAGUUGGUUUUAGAGUAGGGUCCCUUUUAAAACUGUUUUUUAUGCCUGGUUUGUUUUUAUUUCUACUGGGCUGGUUCAAUAUUAGUCAGGCAACGUGCAAUCCCUGAGCUGGGCUCUUACCUUAGGGGAAUUAGGUCUUUUAGAGGUACUCCGUGUGGAUUUGCAGUGAAUAAGUUUUAUUAAGAGUGAGUUUAGUGCCACUGAUUGCCUGAACUAAAACACUUGGUGCAUGCGAUAAGUGUUCUGUUGGGCUCGUAUUUAUUUGGGAUGGAUUUGUUUUAAAGCAACGAGCAUCUGGGACCACCGGGGUAGAGCAAGCCCUCAGGUGAUAAUUGCAUUGCUGGCAGGUUGCACCAAUAAGACUAUUGUGGUCGUUAGUGACCUUUUCAAUUUUGAUGUUUUAGGCCUUUUGCAAACCCUUUAUUUUCUUUUAAAAUAAUAAAUUUUAACGUAUCUGACUGAUAUCGACCCUCUUGUCCCCUUUCUUCUGAGCUCGUUCCUGUAAGAGCUCUGGGCCUGAAAGUUUGCACAAGUAGUAUAGAGGCCCUUAGCGGUUACUUGGUGGCUUUUACUCACUACAAAUAAUUAAGCAUAGAAACCAAACCGAUUUUCUGAGAUUUAUUGAAAGAAAGUUCAAACCUCUGCAAAGGGAUCAAUAAAGCACAAAUGAUCAGAUAAUCUACUUUUCUGACGCCAAGUCCCGUCUCUUGUUUGUUUAUCGCCCACUUUGCGCCUGAAAGAGGAAACCAGCUGAGCUGAACAGGUGAUGGAGAAACAGGUUUACCUUUUAGGUGAUAUGAAUGAGUUGAAGGGAAGUUAUGAACUGUUUCUGAGAGACAAAUCACACCAGGAUCCUUCUCUACGUAGCUGACAGCUGGUAACACAGGCGAGUCUAAGUCAUUAACGGGAAAGUGGG
This is a long non-coding RNA of Oreochromis aureus, 1138 nucleotides long. Lineage: Eukaryota; Metazoa; Chordata; Actinopteri; Cichliformes; Cichlidae. The record is from Ensembl.